AACGUAGGUGGCAAGCGUUAUCCGGAAUUACUGGGCGUAAAGGGUGUGCAGGCGGGGGUGCAAGUGGGGUAUGAAAUAUCCCAGCUUAACUGGGAGGGGUUAUGCCAGACUGCAACUCUAGAGGACGAGAGAGGGGGGUGGAAUUCCGGGUGUAGUGGUGAAAUGCGUAGAGAUCCGGAGGAACCCCAGAGGCGAAGGCGGCCCCCUGGCUCGUACCUGACGCUCAGCCACGAAAGCAUGGGGAGCGAACGGG
RNAcentral lists this ribosomal RNA (253 nucleotides) under uncultured bacterium. RNAcentral describes it as "partial 16S ribosomal RNA". It matches the Rfam family "Bacterial small subunit ribosomal RNA", at positions 524 to 776 of the family's 1533-position model. The record is from RNAcentral.